RNAcentral lists this ribosomal RNA (265 nucleotides) under uncultured bacterium. Its description in RNAcentral is "partial 16S ribosomal RNA". It matches the Rfam family "Bacterial small subunit ribosomal RNA", at positions 524 to 787 of the family's 1533-position model. The record is from RNAcentral.
UACGUAGGGUGCGAGCGUUAAUCGGAAUUACUGGGCGUAAAGCGUGCGCAGGCGGUUUUGUAAGCCAGAUGUGAAAUCCCCGGGCUUAACCUGGGAAUGGCAUUUGGGACUGCAAGGCUUGAGUGCGGCAGAGGAGACUGGAAUUCCUGGUGUAGCAGUGAAAUGCGUAGAUAUCAGGAGGAACACCGAUGGCGAAGGCAGGUCUCUGGGCUGACACUGACGCUCAUGCACGAAAGCGUGGGGAGCAAACAGGAUUAGAGUACCC